CCUGUUCUUUUUGUGUGAGAGCACAGCACUAACAAUUGUGCCUACAACCCACUGGCCUACUACCACCCUCACUACUACUACUACUGCUCCUACUACUACUACAACUACAACUGCAGUGACUACUGCAGAAGUAAAGCUCUCUCCUCUGCUGC
This is a long non-coding RNA of Centropristis striata (black sea bass), 152 nucleotides long. RefSeq lists it as uncharacterized. NCBI's taxonomy places the organism in Eukaryota, Metazoa, Chordata, Actinopteri, Perciformes, Serranidae. The record is from RefSeq and is a predicted model, not a curated record. The transcript is spliced from 3 exons.